GUCCACGCCUUAAACGAUGGAUACUAAGUGUCGGCGGGUUACCGCCGGUGCCGCAGCUAACGCAGUAAGUAUCCCGCCUGGGAAGUACGGCCGCAAGGUUGAAACUCAAAGGAAUUGACGGGGGCCCGCACAAGCGGUGGAGCAUGUGGUUUAAUUCGACGCAACGCGAAGAACCUUACCUAGGCUGGACAUGCAGGUAGUAGGAGGGUGAAAGCCCAACGAGGUAGCAAUACCAACCUGCUCAGGUGCUGCAUGGCUGUCGU
RNAcentral lists this ribosomal RNA (263 nucleotides) under uncultured bacterium. RNAcentral describes it as "partial 16S ribosomal RNA". It matches the Rfam family "Bacterial small subunit ribosomal RNA", at positions 793 to 1055 of the family's 1533-position model. The record is from RNAcentral.